RNAcentral lists this unclassified non-coding RNA (191 nucleotides) under uncultured fungus. Its description in RNAcentral is "partial contains 18S rRNA, ITS1, 5.8S rRNA, ITS2 and 28S rRNA". The record is from RNAcentral. Lineage: Eukaryota; Fungi.
AAGGAUCAUUAUCAAAAGUCAAGUCGGGGGCUGUAAAGCUCUCGUCUACACCCCAUGUCUUUUGCGUACUCUUGUUUCCUCGGUGGCGCAAGCUGCCGAUUGGACAAACCAAAACCUUUUUUGUAAUUGCAAUCAGCGUCUGAAAAUAAUCUAAUUAUUUACAACUUUCAACAACGGAUCUCUUGGUUCUG